UUCAAAGAAACAGUGUCCAAUUACAACAUACACACAUUUUACCUUAAAAGUUUUCUUCAGUUACUUUUGCUUUUAUAUAACCUAUGCACAUCUAAACUAACUAAAUUAUAUUUUAUAACUAUAUUUUACAAAAGCACAUCUGCUGGUCAGCCAUCAGACAAAGGACUUCUUGGCAAAAAUAAAACAUUUGUUACUCCUUUACAUCAUUGGAGUUAUUCAUAUUGAUCUUAAAACAUUAAAAGAGAACUUACAUGAACCAAAAAUUAAGCCAUGCCAUUUCUAUGAAAUAAAAAUUAAAAAACAAAAAGCAUAAAAUUAUGAAACAGCCUCUUCCUAUUGUUUUAUUGACUCUCAACAAGUUACACAAGUUUCUGUUUGAUAAUUGCACGGCUCCUGAACUCUGUCCACAUACGUUAUAUAAACCUUAUCUAACGCUCACUCACUAGAGGUGAAUACUGAGGACAUAAACCAUAAAACUGAUGAAAAACAACAGCUUAAGAUGCCAAAUGUCUGUCUCACUUUUCUUCUGUAUGCAAAUGCACACUAGUGUCAGGAAAAAGAGACAUGAUGGUACAGUGUGCACUCAGAAUAUUUGAAUUCAUUUUACUAGCUGGUAUUUUUCUACGGUAAGCAACCGUGUGUCUCUCUGCGUAUAGGUUUCACGUUAAAGCAAGCUUCAGUUCAGUCUCUCGUUAUCUCUGUCCACACACACACACAUAAGCGAGUCCCGCCCACUCACACACACACCAGGAAAAGAAAGAAACGAAACUGUUUGUGGAUUCCCUUUAACACCGAGCUCCUUGUUCUCCAUGCAAAUGGCAUGUGCUCGGUUUGCCUCCAGGACCUGCAGGAACACAGCUGGCCUCAGAGUCAACACGAUUCCUGAUGUGGGACAGAUCUGGAAGAAUCCAGGGCUCCAGAUCCAGACGAAUCCACCAUUAAAAACAGGGUCUGGGAUGCUACAGAACGAGCAGAGGCACUGCUUAAUGUGGCCAAAGAACAGUCAACAGGUUACGACUUCUGAAAUGCCUCAAGUGAUCCAGUGAUUCCCAGAGGAAGCUGAAAGAGUCCAAGCUCGAGAGACGGAGCUGAAGGAAAUCCAAUAGGAAUCACGUGGCCUCAAGCUGAGAUUAAAAAGUGGAAUCAUUUUCCAAACACUUUCUCCAAUCCCAGAUUAAUGGACAUUAGGAAGAUAUGUUGAUGAACCCAAGCGCUGUUGAAUUUCACACAUCUACAUUUUCAAACUUGCCCAGUUUUGCGGUCAUCGAAACCAAACACCAUUGACUCUCACAGCGGUCUCGUAAAUAAACACAAACCAGAAAGUUUUAAUAUACAGAGGCAGAAACACAAUACGACUUCAAUCUGCGUCUUCUGCUCAAAUGGCUUGGAAUAUAACAUCGUAUGGAUACUUUCGUGAUGUUGUUUUGGAGUUCGACAACCUCAAUAAAGACUUCAACGCAGAC
Long non-coding RNA from Carassius auratus (goldfish), 1463 nucleotides. RefSeq lists it as uncharacterized. The transcript is spliced from 3 exons. Lineage: Eukaryota; Metazoa; Chordata; Actinopteri; Cypriniformes; Cyprinidae. The record is from RefSeq and is a predicted model, not a curated record.